GCAACGCGAAGAACCUUACAUGGUCUUGACAUCCCGAUGACGAGUGAGCAAAGUCACUUUCCUUUCGGGGCAUUGGAGACAGGUGGUGCAUGGUUGUCGUCAGCUCGUGUCGUGAGAUGUUGGGUUAAGUCCCGCAACGAGCGCAACCCCUAUUUCCAGUAGCCAGCAGGUAGAGGUGGGCACUCUGGAGAGACUGCCCGGGAUAACCGGGAGGAAGGCGGGGAUGACGUCAAAUCAUCAUGCCCCUUAUGAUCAGGGCUACACACGUGCUACAAUGGCGUAAACAAAGGGAAGCGAGACGGUGACGUUAAGCAAAUCCCAAAAAUAACGUCCCAGUUCGGAUUGUAGUCUGCAACUCGACUACAUGAAGCUGGAAUCGCUAGUAAUCGCGAAUCAGAAUGUCGCGGUGAAUACGUUCCCGGGUCUUGUACACACCGCCCGUCACACCAUGGGAGUCGGAAAUGCCCGAAGUCAGUGACCUAACCGAAAGGAAGGAGCUGCCGAAGGUGGAGCCGGUAACUGGGGUGAAGUCGUAACAAGGUAACCGU
This 548-nucleotide ribosomal RNA is filed under the name uncultured bacterium. RNAcentral's name for it is "bacterial SSU rRNA". It matches the Rfam family "Bacterial small subunit ribosomal RNA", at positions 956 to 1503 of the family's 1533-position model. The record is from RNAcentral.